Capnocytophaga sputigena ATCC 33612 is the source of this 56-nucleotide non-coding RNA. NCBI's taxonomy places the organism in Bacteria, Pseudomonadati, Bacteroidota, Flavobacteriia, Flavobacteriales, Flavobacteriaceae. The record is from Rfam.
UACCUUUGCGCCCGAAAAAAUUCGUACAUAAUAAUCAUUAAAUUAAUAUUGGAAUG